RNAcentral lists this long non-coding RNA (247 nucleotides) under Neogobius melanostomus (round goby). RNAcentral's name for it is "lncRNA (ENSNMLG00000006965.1)". The record is from RNAcentral. Lineage: Eukaryota; Metazoa; Chordata; Actinopteri; Gobiiformes; Gobiidae.
AUGUUCGCACAGUGUUCCCACAGAUGUUAUCACAGAUGUUCUCAAGAUGUUCUCACAAUGUUCUCACAGAUGUUCUCACAGAUGUUCGCACAGAUGUUCCCACAGAUGUUCUCACAGAUGUUCUCACAGAUGUUCUCACAGAUGUUCUCACAGAUGUUCUCACAGAUGUUCUCACAGAUGUUCUCCACAAUGUUCUCACAGAUGUUCUCACACAUUUCUCACAGAUGUUCUCACAGAUGUUCCCCAG